Molecule: small RNA, 32 nt
Filed under: Bombyx mori (domestic silkworm)
Lineage: Eukaryota; Metazoa; Arthropoda; Insecta; Lepidoptera; Bombycidae
Description: ovarian small RNA-35019
Source: RNAcentral
UGGGCUGGAUAGCGGCCCACGUGCGCCUGCUU